GGCUUCGUAGCCCAGCUGGUAGAGCACUUGCCCCGUAGAGGCAUGGUGUUUCUGCCGCUGGUUCGAGUCCAGCGAAAGCCU
Molecule: non-coding RNA, 81 nt
Organism: Paragonimus heterotremus
Lineage: Eukaryota; Metazoa; Platyhelminthes; Trematoda; Plagiorchiida; Troglotrematidae
Source: the annotation of a GenBank genome assembly